GAUCUUUGUAAAACCAACAUAAUUUGAAUUACCAAAUGAUGUAUAUGAAUAUUCAGGAAAUUUGUAUGUUAACGAGGAAAAAAGAAGCUUACCUUUAUGCGUCCAAAGCGGCUUAUCUAAAUAAUCAAAAAGAAAACGUGUUAAUGAAUUUUUUUGUGCGAUGCAAGACGAUUUUGCGAUGUGCUUUGGACUAAUUUAGGACUAUACAACAUGCAAUCAUUGGUCAGCGUAAAAAAUAAUUCGCCAGAAAUAUUCAAGCAAUUCAAAUGAAUCUUCUUUAGGGUAUCGAUAUUUGACAUAGCUGGAGAAAGAGUUCGCACAAACCAGUUCGCCUCUUUUACAAAUGAAAAGUGAGAGUUGAAUGUGUACGCAAUUGUUCCCUCUUUCGAUCUGAGCUAUGUCAAAUGCCACGUCUCCGCUUUCAUUUUUUGCUUUUCUUCUUUUCGAUUCGCUGUAACGAACGUGAUUGUCAUCCAAUAAAGAGCUAACGUACUCGGCCCAAAUCUGACGUUUAUUCCUAGAAAGAAGGUCGACGUAUCAGUAGCCAAAGAUUUUUGUAUGAUUAAACCUGUUUUCAUAGAAAAGAAAGAAAAAAAAAGCAGAACAAGCUCUUGAUCCAGAAGGAGGGGAAAAAAAACAUGGCCUCGUGCGGGAAUAACUACUAGCUACACACAAAAAACUACUGGUCGCGAGGAGACAUCACGAUUUUCUCGUUCCAGCAAAUUGAAAGAAGGAAUGUUUUCCCUUUCAAAAAAGCUAAAAAAAAAAGGGAACAAAAACAAAACAUACGUUAUAUUAUUUGUCACGAAAAGAAUAUCAAGUCUGCCUUUGCCUCCAUCUUUGUUACUGAUUGAAAGUUCAGCCUUGAUGUUGUAUAAUAUAAAUUAUACCUGUUACCGGAAUGCAGGGCAUGUGCAUUAGCUACUCUCAAAUGUUUCGGGCUGUUUCAACUCCAAACUUUGGAUUAAAAAACCAUUUCUCAUAGCCAUUAUUACGUAAUUUAAAAACAUUUCAGGACAGUUUUUCAUUAGUGAUGUCAGUAAAGAUAUUUUCAGUUAUCACAACAGAUAGAUAAAUAACUGCUCUUACGAAAAUUGACCCCAAAACAAAGGCACUUAGCACAACAGGUUUUCUGGAGGACUAUAGACGAUUUUGCAUAACGUAAUAAACGACAACUAUUUGCUA
This is a long non-coding RNA of Daphnia magna, 1185 nucleotides long. RefSeq lists it as uncharacterized. The record is from RefSeq and is a predicted model, not a curated record. The transcript has 3 exons. Lineage: Eukaryota; Metazoa; Arthropoda; Branchiopoda; Diplostraca; Daphniidae.